UAAGGAAUAUUGCUCAAUGGGAGAAAUCCUGAAGCAGCAACGCCGCGUGGAGGAUGAAGGGUCUAUGACUUGUAAACUCCUGUAAAGAAGGAAAGAAUUCCCAUUAGAUGGGAGAUGAUGGUACUUCUGGAGUAAGCCCCGGCUAACUACGUGCCAGCAGCCGCGGUAAUACGUAGGGGGCAAGCGUUGUCCGGAUUUACUGGGUGUAAAGGGUGCUCAGGCGGAUUUGUAAGUCAGAGGUGAAAUCUUACAGCUUAACUGUGAAACUGCCUUUGAUACUGCAAGCCUAGAGUAUGGAAGAGAGUGAUGGAAUAUCUGGUGUAGCAGUGAAAUGCGUAGAUAUCAGAUAGAACACCAGUGGCGAAGGCAGUCACUUGGUCCAUUACUGACGCUAAAGCACGAAAGCGUGGGUAGCAAACA
RNAcentral lists this ribosomal RNA (420 nucleotides) under uncultured bacterium. RNAcentral's name for it is "bacterial SSU rRNA". It matches the Rfam family "Bacterial small subunit ribosomal RNA", at positions 355 to 774 of the family's 1533-position model. The record is from RNAcentral.